This 467-nucleotide ribosomal RNA is filed under the name uncultured bacterium. Its description in RNAcentral is "partial 16S ribosomal RNA". It matches the Rfam family "Bacterial small subunit ribosomal RNA", at positions 28 to 507 of the family's 1533-position model. The record is from RNAcentral.
GACGAACGCUGGCGGCGUGCUUAACACAUGCAAGUCGAACGGAAAGGCCCUGCUUUUGUGGGGUGCUCGAGUGGCGAACGGGUGAGUAACACGUGAGUAACCUGCCCUUGACUUUGGGAUAACUUCAGGAAACUGGGGCUAAUACCGGAUAGGAGCUCCUGCUGCAUGGUGGGGGUUGGAAAGUUUCGGCGGUUGGGGAUGGACUCGCGGCUUAUCAGCUUGUUGGUGGGGUAGUGGCUUACCAAGGCUUUGACGGGUAGCCGGCCUGAGAGGGUGACCGGCCACAUUGGGACUGAGUUACGGCCCAGACUCCUACGGGAGGCAGCAGUGGGGAAUAUUGCACAAGGGGCGGAAGCCUGAUGCAGCAACGCCGCGUGCGGGAUGACGGCCUUCGGGUUGUAAACCGCUUUCGCCUGUGACGAAGCGUGAGUGACGGUAAUGGGUAAAGAAGCACCGGCUACUACGUG